RNAcentral lists this ribosomal RNA (691 nucleotides) under uncultured Serratia sp. Its description in RNAcentral is "bacterial SSU rRNA". It matches the Rfam family "Bacterial small subunit ribosomal RNA", at positions 789 to 1480 of the family's 1533-position model. The record is from RNAcentral. Lineage: Bacteria; Pseudomonadati; Pseudomonadota; Gammaproteobacteria; Enterobacterales; Yersiniaceae.
GGUAGUCCACGCCGUAAACGAUGUCGACUUGGAGGUUGUUCCCUUGAGGAGUGGCUUCCGGAGCUAACGCGUUAAGUCGACCGCCUGGGGAGUACGGCCGCAAGGUUAAAACUCAAAUGAAUUGACGGGGGCCCGCACAAGCGGUGGAGCAUGUGGUUUAAUUCGAUGCAACGCGAAGAACCUUACCUACUCUUGACAUCCAGAGAACUUAGCAGAGAUGCUUUGGUGCCUUCGGGAACUCUGAGACAGGUGCUGCAUGGCUGUCGUCAGCUCGUGUUGUGAAAUGUUGGGUUAAGUCCCGCAACGAGCGCAACCCUUAUCCUUUGUUGCCAGCGGUUAGGCCGGGAACUCAAAGGAGACUGCCAGUGAUAAACUGGAGGAAGGUGGGGAUGACGUCAAGUCAUCAUGGCCCUUACGAGUAGGGCUACACACGUGCUACAAUGGCGCAUACAAAGAGAAGCGACCUCGCGAGAGCAAGCGGACCUCAUAAAGUGCGUCGUAGUCCGGAUUGGAGUCUGCAACUCGACUCCAUGAAGUCGGAAUCGCUAGUAAUCGUAGAUCAGAAUGCUACGGUGAAUACGUUCCCGGGCCUUGUACACACCGCCCGUCACACCAUGGGAGUGGGUUGCAAAAGAAGUAGGUAGCUUAACCUUCGGAAGGGCGCUUACCACUUUGUGAUUCAUGACUGGGG